This 255-nucleotide ribosomal RNA is filed under the name uncultured bacterium. RNAcentral describes it as "partial 16S ribosomal RNA". It matches the Rfam family "Bacterial small subunit ribosomal RNA", at positions 793 to 1055 of the family's 1533-position model. The record is from RNAcentral.
GUCCACGCCGUAAACGAUGGAUACUAGCUGUUGGGAGUAAUCUCAGUUGCUAAGCGAAAGUGAUAAGUAUCCCACCUGGGGAGUACGUUCGCAAGAAUGAAACUCAAAGUAAUUGACGGGGGCCCGCACAAGCGGUGGAGCAUGUGGUUUAAUUCGAUGAUACGCGAGGAACCUUACCAAGGCUUAAAUGUAGAUUGACCGUUUUGGAAACAGAACUUUCGCAAGACAAUUUACAAGGUGCUGCAUGGUUGUCGU